AGUGAACGCUGGCGGUAGGCCUAACACAUGCAAGUCGAACGGCAGCACAGUAAGAGCUUGCUCUUACGGGUGGCGAGUGGCGGACGGGUGAGGAAUACAUCGGAAUCUACUUUUUCGUGGGGGAUAACGUAGGGAAACUUACGCUAAUACCGCAUACGACCUACGGGUGAAAGCAGGGGAUCUUCGGACCUUGCGCGAUUGAAUGAGCCGAUGUCGGAUUAGCUAGUUGGCGGGGUAAAGGCCCACCAAGGCGACGAUCCGUAGCUUGUCUGAGAGGAUGAUCAGCCACACUGGAACUGAGACACGGUCCAGACUACUACGGGAGGCAGCAGUGGGGAAUAUUGGACAAUGGGCGCAAGCCUGAUCCAGCCAUACCGCGUGGGUGAAGAAGGCCUUCGGGUUGUAAAGCCCUUUUGUUGGGAAAGAAAAGCAGCAGGUUAAUACCCCGCUGUUCUGACGGUACCCAAAGAAUAAGCACCGGCUAACUUCGUG
This 492-nucleotide ribosomal RNA is filed under the name uncultured bacterium. RNAcentral describes it as "partial 16S ribosomal RNA". It matches the Rfam family "Bacterial small subunit ribosomal RNA", at positions 29 to 507 of the family's 1533-position model. The record is from RNAcentral.